Non-coding RNA from Phrynosoma platyrhinos (Desert horned lizard), 72 nucleotides. The record is from the annotation of a GenBank genome assembly. Lineage: Eukaryota; Metazoa; Chordata; Lepidosauria; Squamata; Phrynosomatidae.
GCCAAUGUGGUCUAGUGGUUUCAGCAUUGGACAAUGACUCUGGAGACCAGGGUUCAAUUCCCUGCUCAGCCA